UGCAUGCCCAAAGCUUUCCACUCUUUCACUCUUACAUGGAAUGUGGUUGUGGACCAAGUCAAAGUAGGAAUUAGUUUAGAUUUCAAAUUUUAUGAGAUAGAAUUUUAGGAAACCAAAACUCUUUCCUUAUGGCACUGAUUUUAAUCAGAUUUUUUUUGAGAUUUUUAUAGAUUUUAUAGAACAUAUUGUGCACCCUUUGCUG
This 202-nucleotide long non-coding RNA is filed under the name Elaeis guineensis (African oil palm). Its description in RNAcentral is "long non-coding RNA (EGUI_LNC071934)". The record is from RNAcentral. Lineage: Eukaryota; Viridiplantae; Streptophyta; Magnoliopsida; Arecales; Arecaceae.